CCUCCGAACUGCUGAGAAAUAUUGCAAAAAUGACUUCAGCUGCCAAAAAUAAUGUCGUUUACAAGCAGCUCUUCCUAUGUCUAAGGAAGAACUAGUCACACAUGCGAGUUUUUGCUGGCUUGAGAACAAGCAAGGAAAAAGACAAAUCCCACCUACCCUAGCCUAAAAUACACAGUGAGUCUCAGAACCCCGCGGAAGCUGUGGCUCAUUUCUAAAGGUGCUGGCAAUAUCGAGGAAGACUUGUAUCCACAAAAUUCCAAAUGGAAAAGAGAGAAAAGAGAACAACAAACAGAUGUGUGAAAAAAAGACACGAAGUACAAAACGGAUGUAUUAAUGGCAAAUAUUAAAUAAUCAAGUCAUUAUUGUGAAUUUGGAUCUAAAUGACCUGGCAGAAACCAUGGAGAUGAUCUUGGAUUUAAAGAGGAAAAACUCAAAGCAAUGUAUUCUGAUCAAGAAAUGGCAGGAAAUGGCAGCUACCUGAUAUGGAACAAUCAACAACUGAAGGUUUAUUUUGAAUGAGAGGUGUUGUCCAACUGCGAGACGGAGUGAUUGAAGCUGAGAAUAAAUGGAAACACAAUCAAUAGUCACUCCAGUGAGGUAGGAAAGAAAGCCAUUCCGAAGUGGCAGAGAAGCUGCUUUUUCCUCCUGCAUGCUGCCUGCUAGUGUGGAUCUUGGCAUAACAGACACUACUUGGCAAAAGAUCCAUCCUUCCUUUUCCUAUACUUUGCUCAGCGGCCUGGAAGAUUGACCUCAAAAGCAAAAUCACCUGGAUUUCCUUGCCAUUUGGCUUUCAAAUGUGCUCAGCCAAUGACAGGCUGGAAAGAAAUUGACAGCUGGGAAAAGAGGAAGAUUUGUGUACAAGAUCCCUUCCACUCCCAUCUCAUUACCUGCCAUGGUCCUAGCAGUGGCUGUUCUUAUUAUGGCCACAACUACUCUUGGACAGGCCAACAUCCACAACUCCAUCCUUCAACUAGGCUUCAUUAACACUGUCCCUCACCCUUAUCUCUUUCUGGGUAGGGGUGAUAAAGGUUUCCUGACAUCAGAGUUCCUGAGUGCCUCAUAUAUUCUUGUUGGUCCCUGAACCUUGCCCCAACAUCAAUAAAAAGUUCCUUCAUUAAAUAAUUUUCAGUUGAAUCUUUCGUGCUGGGAUCUGUCCAAUUCGACUUUAGCAUACUUUUCGUGCCAAGAAAGUGAUAGUUUCUUGCCAGGAUUUGGCUCAAAGGGCUCACAGUGGGUGAGGGGAUGAGAUUACUUAUUAAGUGAUAAAAUGGAGAUCACAGUGGUUAACCUGCCUAAGAUCACAUGGUUGGUCAACUCAUGG
RNAcentral lists this long non-coding RNA (1321 nucleotides) under Homo sapiens (human). RNAcentral describes it as "HSALNT0301921". Lineage: Eukaryota; Metazoa; Chordata; Mammalia; Primates; Hominidae. The record is from RNAcentral.